RNAcentral lists this long non-coding RNA (1100 nucleotides) under Gallus gallus (chicken). Its description in RNAcentral is "lncRNA (ENSGALG00010019499.1)". Lineage: Eukaryota; Metazoa; Chordata; Aves; Galliformes; Phasianidae. The record is from RNAcentral.
GAUUCUUGGGAUAAUGGGGUAUUUUUGGAGAGAAAAUGCGUGAUUUUGGGGUAAAUGCGGGAGUUUCCAAGAGAAAAGGCGAGAUUUUUGAGUGAAAUGGGGGAUUUUCUAAGAGAAAAUGCAUGAUUUGGGGGUUAAAUGGGGGAUUUCUGAGGAGAAAAUGUGUGAUUCUUGGGAUAAUGGGGUAUUUUUGGAGAGAAAAUGCAUGAUUUGGGGGUAAAUGCGUAUUUUCCAAGAGAAAAGGCGAGAUUUUUGAGUGAAAUGGGGGAUAUUCCAAGAGAAAAUGCAUGAUUUGGGGGUUAAAUGGGGGAUUGUUGAAGAGAGAAUGCAUGAUUUUGGGGUGAAGGGGGGGAUUUUUGAAGAGAAAACACAUAAUUUUUGGUUUAAACAGCUAUUUUUGAAGAGAAUAUGCGUGAUUUUCAGUUUAAAUCAGGGAUUGUCAAAGAGGAAAUGUGUGAUUUUUGUUUAAAUGGGGUAUUUUGGAAGGGAAGAUGCGUGAUUUUCGGGUUAAAUGGGGGAUUUUUGAAGAGGAAAUGCUUCGUUUCAGGUUAAAUGGGGGAUUUUCCAAGAGAAAAUGCGUUAUUUUCAUUUACAUGUGAGUUUUUUGUAGAGGAAACACGUGAUUUUGGGGUUAAAUGGGGGAUUCUUGAAGUGAAAAUGUGAUUUUUUGAGUUAAAUGGGGGAUUUUUGAGGAGAAAAUGCGUGAUUUUGGGUUAAAUGAGGGAUUUCCGAAGAGAAACUGUGAGUUUUGUGGUGAAAUUGCGGGAUUUUCGUUUCCGUUUUUUUUUUUUUUUUUUUUUUGGUAGAGAAAAUGUGUGAUUUUCGUGUUAAAUGGAGUAUUUUUGAAGAGAAAAUGUGUGAUUUUGGGCUUAAAUGGGGGAUUUUUGUAGAGAAGGAGUGAUUUUCGAGUUAAAUCAGGUAUUCUCAAAGAGAAUAUCCGUGAUUUUGGGGUUUAAUGGGGGAUUUUUGUAGAAAAAUACAUGAUUUUCAUGUUGAAUCGCCAAUUCUUGAAGAGAAAAUGCAUGAUUUCUGCUUUAAAUGUGAGAUUUUAACAGAGAAAAAGCGGGAUUUUCAGGUUAAGCCGGAUAUUUUUUGUAGAG